UUGAUUUCGUGAGUCUAGUUUGUUUGUGCAAAUAAAAAAAGCUCAGUACACAGAUUGAGAGAGUCAAUCACUUCGUUCCAUCAUUCCACAAGAUUGAGAGAUUCAAUUAAACCUUCAUCCGCAAAUCUACUUCAAGUUCAUUCCUUGAUCAAGCUGAGAGUGAUACACAUCCAACAGAUUAAUUCCGACUUAUCUAUCCUUACUCUUUCAUUUCAUUUUUAGUAACAUCAGCAUCUCAUUCAUUUUCCAUUUGUUUCAGGUUUACAAGCCGGAUUCCAUUG
RNAcentral lists this long non-coding RNA (281 nucleotides) under Brassica napus (rape). Its description in RNAcentral is "long non-coding RNA (BNAP_LNC004430)". The record is from RNAcentral. Lineage: Eukaryota; Viridiplantae; Streptophyta; Magnoliopsida; Brassicales; Brassicaceae.